RNAcentral lists this ribosomal RNA (274 nucleotides) under uncultured bacterium. Its description in RNAcentral is "partial 16S ribosomal RNA". It matches the Rfam family "Bacterial small subunit ribosomal RNA", at positions 523 to 796 of the family's 1533-position model. The record is from RNAcentral.
AUACGGAGGGUGCAAGCGUUGUUCGGAAUUACUGGGCGUAAAGGGCGCGCAGGCGGUUUGGUAAGUCAGAUGUGAACGUCCAGGGCUUAACCCUGGAAGUGCAUAUGAAACUGUCAGACUUGAGUAUCAGAGGGGAAAGUGGAAUUCCCGGUGUAGAGGUGAAAUUCGUAGAUAUCAGGAAGAAUACCGGUGGCGAAGGCGACUUUCUGGCUGAAUACUGACGCUGAGGCGCGAAAGCGUGGGGAGCAAACAGGAUUAGAAACCCUAGUAGUCC